Molecule: long non-coding RNA, 1462 nt
Organism: Solea senegalensis (Senegalese sole)
Lineage: Eukaryota; Metazoa; Chordata; Actinopteri; Pleuronectiformes; Soleidae
Exons: 3
Source: RefSeq, a predicted model, not a curated record
UUGUCACAUCUGCUAAAGGUAGCCAUAUCCUGAUUCACUGCAUCUUCAUAUGUUGGGUAAGACGUGUCAUUGGACUAGUGACAAAGUGGACACCUUAAAAUGUCUGAUCCAAUUUAUCCAAAUGCUUCCUCAGUUUACAAGACGAAAAACAAUUGAAUUUCACAUUCUUGGGGUCAGUAACCUGACCUCUAACCUUUUGGGAAACCAUGCUUAAGAUCGCAUGCUCUUGGCAUAAACAACAGAAUUAGUAUUUGAGCAACUUUAUUGCUCAAUUUGUAAAUCAGUCAGGAUUUAAUGAGCUGGUUCUCCUUCACACAACAGAAGAAGGUAAAUUGAGUCGACUCGUAAGAUGGUUGGGCCUUUUGUCCUUCCCCUCCUCCUGUGUGUGUGAAGGAAUCUGGCCACAAAUCCUGACUGACUGGCACACCAUGGCUGUGCUGUUUCCAAAAUCAGACCAGGAUCCAUCUGAUUUUGUGACUCAGCCUGUCAUGGUAUGCAUUUAUUUUCCUCCAAAACAAUUGGAGUGAACAUGUUUGCUAUGUAGGUCACUUUUAGACAAAAUGACACAUUUGGUCAAAUUAGGGUCAAACAUUUUAAGGGGUCUGCUUUGUCAAUGGUCUAGCACUACAUCUUGCUAAACACAUAAGUAGCUCUGAAUUGUGAGAUCGCUGCCUCUUGCAGAUUUUACGACGACAGCAAUGGGUGUUGUAAGGCUGCAGGGAGAGAAUGAGGUCUGAGAGAGGGAAAGUGGAAUUGAUUUCAUGCAAAAUAAGGGGUUUAAGCAGAGAAACUUUGUAGUGAGGCUGCAGAAUUGGAAGGAACUUUGCCUGGGCAACUUUGAGAUUGGCAGUUUUUCAUGCAGCUAACCAAGACAUUGGGGUUGGCAUCAUCCAAAAUGGCUUGAGGCUUGGUCAUCUGAUAUUGAAUUGUGGUUGGAGACCGGGGUAGUUUGGCAAACCGUCGGUGUAGAAUAGGAAAGCCAGGUAGAGACUGGGGAGGGCAUCCAUCGGUGGACCCUGACUGGAUGUGAGAAGACCCUUGACCAGAGGUGAUGAAGGCUUCAUCAGAGUACUCCAUGUUGGACACCACAACCUGGAGAAGUCCCGUCAUGGAUCGCUGUAAUGAGUACCUGGCCAAGGUGACCCGACCCUUCUACGAUGACUCCUUUGCCACGGGAUGUCUUCAGGUGUUGGACCUUAAGGACCAGAGCCUACCAAAAUAUACACAUGCCUCAAUGGCUGCUCCGCCUCUCUGCCCAAUAGAACAUGGACAUAGAUCCAGUUUUAUUUAAACAAAAUGGACUUUACCACCUAAAGCCAGGGACUUUCUUCAACCCAGAGCCCCCUGCCCCCACUGACCCACCACCACAAAUCACAAAACUGCACAUGAAGCAGCACAACACUAAAAUUAUGUUAUUAAAUAUUUUCUUUUUUUCAUGGUUCUGUGCUGAAUGUUUUUUUGA